Molecule: ribosomal RNA, 2065 nt
Filed under: human metagenome
Description: bacterial LSU rRNA
Rfam family: Bacterial large subunit ribosomal RNA
Source: RNAcentral
AAAUAGGUAUAUGAGGGGAACCGCCUGAACUGAAACAUCUAAGUAGGGCGAGGAAGAGAAAUCAACCGAGAUUCUGUGAGUAGUGGCGAGCGAAAGCGGAAGAGGCUAAACCAUAGGUAGCAAUACUUAUGGGGUUUCGGACAGCAUUUAGUAUUGAUAAUUUCUAGUUGAAACGUGUGGGAAAACGUACCGAAGAGUGUGAGAGUCACGUAAGCGAAAGAGAAAGUCAGCGAGCUGUAUCCAAAGUACCGCGGGACACGUGAAACCCCGUGGGAAGAUGGGGGGACCAUCCUCCAAGCCUAAAUACUACCUAAUGACCGAUAGCGAAUAGUACUGUGAAGGAACGGUGAAAAGAACCCCGGGAGGGGAGUGAAAAAGAACCUGAAACCCUAUGCUUACAAGCACCGAGAGCACGUCAAAGUGUGAUCGGGUACCUUUUGUAGAAUGGUCCGGCGAGUUAUUGUAUGCGGCAAGGUUAAGUGCUUAAGGCACGGAGCCGAAGCGAGAGCAAGUCUGAACAGGGCGAAAAAGUCGUAUGCAAUAGACCCGAAACCGAGUGACCUAUCCAUGUCCAGGCUGAAGUGGAGGUAAAACUCCAUGGAGGGCCGAACACACGUCCGUUGAAAAGGCCGGUGAUGAGGUGUGGAUAGCGGAGAAAUUCCAAUCGAACUCGGAUAUAGCUGGUUCUCUCCGAAAUAGCUUUAGGGCUAGCCUCGUGAAAGAUUACUGGAGGUAAAGCACUGAAUGGGCUAGGGGUCGAAAGAUUACUGAACCCUAUCAAACUAAGAAUGCCAGAUAAUUGAUUCACGGGAGUCAGACAAUGUGAGAUAAGUCUCAUUGUCAAAAGGGAAACAGCCCAGACCCACAGCUAAGGUCCCUAAACAUUGUUAAGUGGAAAAGGAUGUGGGGUUGCAUAAACAACCAGGAUGUUGGCUUAGAAGCAGCCACUCAUUAAAAGAGUGCGUAAUAGCUCACUGGUCGAGUGACCCUGCGCCGAAAAUUCAACGGGGCUAAACAAUGUACCGAAGCUUGGGAUUCUAAAGUAAUUUAGAGUGGUAGGAGAGCGUCGAAUAAGGGGUGAAGUCAGAGCGGAAGCGCUGGUGGACUUUAUUCGAGUGAGAAUGCCGGAAUGAGUAGCGAGAAUUAUGUGAGAAUCAUAAUGGCCGAAAAUCUAAGGUUUCCUGAGGAAGGUUCGUCCGCUCAGGGUAAGCCGGGGGCUAAGGCGAGGCGGAGACGCGUAGCCGAUGCACAUACGGUUGAAAUUCCGUAGCCACCGAAAGAUUUAAGUACAGGGACGCUUUAGAAGUGAUGUUGCCGGGCGAUGGUUGACCCGGUCGUAAGGGAUCGAAAAUGAGUAGAGAAGUCAUCAUGGAAAGAGACAAGAAAAGCUGUAUGUAUAUUUUAGGUGCCCGUACCGCAAACCGACACAGGUAGAUAGGAAGAAGAUUCUAAGGCCAACGGGAGAAGGGUUGUUAAGGAACUCGGCAAGUUGACCCCGUAACUUAGGGAUAAGGGGUGCUCAAGUGAUUGAGCCGCAGAGAAUAGGCCCAGGCGACUGUUUAGCAAAAACACAGGUCUCUGCUAAAUCGAAAGAUGACGUAUAGGGGCUGACACCUGCCCGGUGCCGGAAGGUUAAGAGGAGAUGUGAGAGCAUUGAAUUGAAGCCCCGGUAAACGGCGGCCGUAACUAUAACGGUCCUAAGGUAGCGAAAUUCCUUGUCAGGUAAGUUCUGACCCGCACGAAAGGUGUAACGAUCUGGGCACUGUCUCAACAACCCGCCCGGCGAAAUUGUAGUACCGGUGAAGAUGCCGGUUACCCGCGACUAGACGGAAAGACCCCAUGGAGCUUUACUGUAGCCUAAUAUUGGAUUUCGGUAUUUCACGUACAGGAUAGGUGGGAGACUGGGAAGCACAGGCGUCAGCUUGUGUGGAGUCGACCUUGGGAUACCACUCUUGGAGUGCUGGAAUUCUAACCUGCGGCUUUGAAGCAAGUCGGGGGACAUUGUUAGGUGGGCAGUUUGACUGGGGCGGUCGCCUCCUAAAGAGUAACGGAGGCGCUCAAAGGU